UGAUGACGUCACGUAGUAACGCUUGGCUUCCUCUCCCUAGAGACCAGCCGCCUCGCGUUUCCUCAGCCCGGGAGCCCGACUUGUUCGUGCAGUGUCGUUCGUAGCCAGAGAAGUGGAAAAAGAUAAUGCCAAGAGAGAAAAAUAAAGCAGACCAUCAGAAAUUGUGUGUGCAGAGAUGGAGGGGAGAACGACUACACUGAUUCAUAAUAGCUUUCCAAUUCCUGGUUCUAAUCCAUAGUGAGGUUCAGCUAUACUUCCUAUUCGUAGAUCCAUGAGAUGUACCUGCAGCCAUCCAAUAAAUUCUCUGUGUGCCUUGGCCUAGUUUGGAUGUGAUUUUGUGUACCUAAAAGUAUGUGGAUAUGACACCUGGAGUUGUGGCAAUCAAUUGUGUGAACAUGAGAAGCACAAUGGUGACAGAUACAAUGACAAAAGCCAACAGUAAGGGUAAUGAAGUAGAAAUAUAUCAGGAAGAUGAAUUCUUGGUUAUAGAGUUAAGCUGCUAUGCCAGUACUGACCUGCAUCUCCAUUUCUCUUGUUGGAUAUUAGAAGACUUAAGUCUCUACAAGACUGUGCUAACACCUUACUUCAUUCUGUAUUCAGAAGAGAAUUUUCCUGUGCACUUUAGAGAACACACCAAGGACAAUGACAAAGCAGAGCCCCAUCAAGAUACCAAACCUUCGCAUCAGCUAAUUUGAAGUUCUAUUUUCUUCAGGGAAAAAGAGAUAAUAUAGAUUUUUGUCUGUUAUACACUGCUACCAAAAUGUGAGGAUGUCCUCUAUAGUCAUGUGGCUUACAUAAUAAUACCUUAGUCUACUUGGUGUUCUGAUACCAAAUCUUGUCAAUUCAUUUAUUAACCUUUUCUAUUUAGGAUGUAUUAACCAUAUUUACAGGUAUUAUACAUGAUAUGUUAUAAAUGUUGCAGGCAAAAAUUGUGUUCAAUCCAUUUAUAAAAGUUAAGAGCUCCUACCAAACCACUAUAAUCUCUCAAAAUACAUCUGUGUGCUGAUUUAGAGCCAUAAAGUGGAAAUAACAUCAUUAAGGGUAAUAAUAUCAAUUUGAUCUAGGAUUGACUGGCAGACUUCAAAGUCUGAAAUAUAUCUUUGUCCAGCCUUCUACACAGCAAUUAGGCUCCCUAAAGUGCUCUAAUUCAUACCAAACAACAUUUUAAGCAGUAUUUGGGUCCAUUUUCCACUGCAUCCUAAAUAAAAUAGGAUUUUCCCAGGGACCCCUGGGUGGCUCAGUCAGUUAAGCAUCUUGAUUUCAGCUCAGGUCAUGAUCUCAGGGUCAAUAUAUUGACCCUGCAUCAGACUGUGUCAGCAUGGAUCUGCUUGAGAUUCUCUCUCACUCUCUCUCUCUUCCUCCACCCCUCCCCCUGCUCAAGUGUGGCUCUCUCUCUCUCUCUCAAAUAAAUAAAAUCUUUUGUAAAAAAAAAAAAAUUAAAAAUAGGGUUUUCCUGACCACCAAUGAUUGAGGCUAAUGAACUUAUUUUCAAUCCUAUUAGAGGCGAUCUACUAACCAUAACUCAGCACCAUUGAAGUGAUAAUCACUAAUUGCUUCCAUCUCAGCUUUUCCAGUCUUUGCUACUCUUUAAAACAGAUAAAAAUAUUUUUGCAUAAAAAAUAUUCAUUUGGGGCAUAAUUAUUCUGAGUAGUUUAAAAACUGGUAUUUUGAUUUGAUUAGGAAUACAAAGAGCUCUUUUAAUUACCAGAAGAAGUUUUGUCAAUUACUCAAAGAGUUUAUUAUAUUAAUGCCACAUUGAAUCUCUUUUGCAAAUUUCUAAUCAUGUGCAAUAAUUACAGUUUUAUUUAACCAAGGUUAUUUAUGUGAAAGAACAUGCUGGCAAGGUGCUGUUGAGAAUGACAUUUUUAAUAGGUAUCAGUUACCAGUAUAACAAAAUAAACACCAUUUUGAUGCAGUACACUGUUUGCUGAUGAAAUAUAUAUAUAUAUAUUUAAAAUUCUAUAUUUCUAUAUUUCUAUAAUGCUUUUCCGAAGUACAACUAUUUGCCAGUUUUCCAGGGUCCACUUUCCAGUUUUCUAGAGCUAUCUUAUAUUUGACAAUACUGGACAAAGAGCAGAAUAGUGGAAGAAAAUAGUGUGCUUAGUAGUUGAUGCUUAUUAGUUUGUGAUGCUGUAUAGUUAAAAGGAAAUUCUAUUAAGCCCACCCCACCAAUCCCUUCUGGAUUAUAGAAUUAAUUGAGAAUGUUUUCUUAGUGGGUUCCCCUCUCUUUGUAGGUUAUGAAUCACAUUAAUCAGUUUUUUCCGAACAGACUCUAAAAUGGCCCAAGAUUAUCUUUGUCUCUUGGUAUUCAUCCCCUUUAUAAAUCUGCUCCCUUUAAGUGUGACCAGGACCCAUAAAUAGGUUCUAACCAAUAGAAUACAACAACAGUGCUAGAAUGUCACUUCUGUGAUUACAAUAUGUAAGAUUGUAACUUCUGGCUUUCUAGGAAACUUCCUAGCUGGCUUUGACAAUGCAAGCUUGCCAUGGUAUGAACUGCUUAUGGAAAAGGCCAUGUGGCAUGCAACAGGUGACAGCAAAGAACUGAGGUCCUCAGUCCAAAAGCCUGCAAGGAACUGAAUUUUGCCAACAACCAUAUUAGAUUGGAAGUAGAUCCUUCCCAAGGUAGCUUUCAAAUGAGACUCCAGCCCUGGAUGACCCCUUAAUAAGUAUGUGUUCUUUGGGGCACCUUGAUGGCACAAUUGGUUAAAUAUCCAACUCUUGAUUUUGGCUCAGGUUGAUUUCAGGGAUGUGAGAUGGAGCCCCACAUCAGGCUUCAUGCUUAGCUUGGAGUCUGAGAUUCUCUCUCUCCUCCUCUCCCUUUGCACCUCCUCCCUCCCCAUGUUCUUUCUCUCACUCUCACUCUCAAAUAAAUAAAUCUUUUUUUCUUUAAAAAGCGUAUUAAGUUACCAAGUUCUGGUAAUUGGUUAUGCAGCAAUAGAUAACUAAUACUCAGUAACCCAGAUUUUAGUAAUAAUAUAGUCAAGGUAAAGGUUCUCGUAUGGAAUUUUUUUUAAUUACAGAGAUAUAAUUGAUGUGUAAUGGCAAUCUUUUUUGCCAUAUAAAAAUAUGCAUAUUUUGUUAAGAAAUUUUGAACCUAUGUUGAUAAUUUUAAGUGUUAUUACUUGAGUAUUAAUUGUUAUAUUAACAAACUACAUAGAGUAAUGUUUUAAUAUGAGAUACUGGAGAAUAGACACAUGGAGGUAGUAAAAUGAAAACGAUCUUUGCUUCAUAAAUCAAGUUCUGUUUUUCUUAGUAACAACUGAACCCACCUUUUUUUUAAAGCAGGCUUCAUGCCCACCGUGGGGCUUGAAUUCAUGAUUCUGAGAUCAAAAGUCCCAUGUUCUAUGUACUGAGCCAGCCAGGUGCCCCUUGAAUCCACUUUUGGUAACAACUGAAUUUACUUUAUAAUGAAAGAAAAACGCUGUCUAGCAUUACAGUUCUACUUUUUUGCUCUUCUCUCAUGAGCAAAUACUUUCCCUUCAGCUAUGUAAGAAAUUAGAGUUGCAACUUCAUUAUCUACAUUAGCAGAUCAUCAUCAUUCUUAAAUAAUUGCACUAAUCUGGAUACAAGUAUAAAGAAAGCAAUUUUUGUACUUAAUAUUUAAAUAAAAAGUAAUACAAACAAGAAUUUUCCAAUGAUACUCUAAAUAACAGCUCACUGCAAAAAUGUAAAUCAGCCCAGUUGAUGAAAGAUGAUUCAGUAUCUUUGAAGCAUUUAAUCCUAUUGCACAUAUAUCAUUAUAGUUAUCUACACCCCAGGAAAAAUAUAAUAAUGCCCAUUAGAAUCUUUGGAGACAAGCCAAGUCAAUACUGCAGAGAAUUAUGCAGAAUUUAUCCCUAAAAUAUUUUCAUAGAAUAUUUCUCCAUUGAGCCAUAUCUGUACAAUUAUUAUUAUUUACUGAAUCUUAUAUCUGAAAGAUUUUCAAAGCAUUUUCACACAUUAUCCUUUCAGGUUUCACAACUGCCAUGAAGUUGUCAGGGAAGUUAUUAGUCCCAUUUCUAGACAAGAAAAUAAAAUACUGGAGAUGUUAGUAUAUUUGUUUUAGGAUAAAUUGUUGAAAACAAAAUGGAAAUACAGGUCUCUCAUUACCUUUACAGGAAUAUUGUUUAAAAAAAAAAAAACAGUAUUCCAUUUGGACCAGCUAUCACAAAAGAAGCACUUGGGUAAAAUAGCACCACCUCUGUACAAAGAAAUCUAGAUACCUACUUGACUAAUUCAGUAGGCAUUUCCACCUCUAAGCUUCUCAUACAAAUUUGGGCUUCACUAGCUUUAGUUUAAAGUAAUUUAUUUCAGAGGCCCAUAAACAUAUUUAAUGGCCUUCUCUUGAACUGCACUGAAAUCAUAUUUUAAUUUAUAAGGUAUUCAAAUUUUCAUUAAAAUAUCAUUCAUGUCCCAUUUGUAAUAGUUUAUAAUCCUUUGCUGUUCAUAAUUUUAUCAUUCCU
This is a long non-coding RNA of Canis lupus familiaris (dog), 4442 nucleotides long. RefSeq lists it as uncharacterized. Lineage: Eukaryota; Metazoa; Chordata; Mammalia; Carnivora; Canidae. The transcript has 4 exons. The record is from RefSeq and is a predicted model, not a curated record.